UGAAUACGAGAUGCUACGGCGUCGAAGCAGUCUAUGUCAUACUUCCAAGAAAAGCUCGCACUGUCAUAAACAAAUAAUGCCUGUACCAUAACCGACACAUGUGGGUAGGUAGAGUAUACUAAGGGGCGCGAGAUAACUCUCUCUAAGGAACUCGGCAAAAUGACUCCGUAACUUCGGGAGAAGGAGUGCCUUAUUUAUAAGGUUGCAAUAACAAGAUCCAAGCAACUGUUUAUCAAAAACACAGGUCUCCGCUAAGUCGUAAGACGAUGUAUGGGGGCUGACGCCUGCCCAGUGCCAGAAGGUUAAAGAAGUUGGUUAGCAUUCGCGAAGCUGAUAACUGAAGCCCUGGUGAACGGCGGCCGUAACUAUAACGGUCCUAAGGUAGCGAAAUUCCUUGUCGGGUAAGUUCCGACCCGCACGAAAGGCGUAAUGAUUUGGAUACUGUCUCGGAGAGGGGCUCGGUGAAAUAGACUUGUCUGUGAAGAUGCGGACUACCUGCACCAGGACAGAAAGACCCUAUGAAGCUUUACUGUAACUUGAGAUUGAAAUUGGACUUUACUUGCGCAGUAUAGGUGGGAGGCGUUGAUAAUAUUCUUGCGGGAUUAUUUGAGCCAUCAGUGAGAUACCACUCUUGUAAUGUUAGAUUUCUAACUUUGUAUCAUUAUCUGGUCAAAGGACAGUUUCAGGCGGGCAGUUUGACUGGGGCGGUCGCCUCCUAAACGGUAACGGAGGCGCACAAAGGUUUCCUCUGAACGGGUAGAAAUCGUAUCUAGAGUGUAAAGGCAUAAGGAAGCUUGACUGUGAGACCUACAAGUCGAGCAGGGACGAAAGUCGGUCUUAGUGAUCUGACGGUGCUGAGUGGAAAGGCCGUCACUCAACGGAUAAAAGUUACUCUAGGAUAACAGGCUGAUCUCCCCCAAGAGUUCACAUCGACGGGGAGGUUUGGCACCUCGAUGUCGGCUCAUCGCAUCCUGGGGCGGUAGUACGUCCCAAGGGUUGGGCUGUUCGCCCAUGAAAGCGGUACGCGAGCUGGGUUCAGAACGUCGUGAGACAGUUCGGUCCAUAUCCGGUGUAGGCGUUAGAAUAUUGAGAGGAGCCUUCUUUAGUACGAGAGGACCGAGAAGGACAUACCUCUGGUGUACCAGUUAUCGUGCCAACGGUAAACGCUGGGUAGCUAUGUAUGGAGUGGAUAACCGCUGAAAGCAUCUAAGUGGGAAGCCCACCUCAAGAUAAGUAUUCUC
Molecule: ribosomal RNA, 1241 nt
Filed under: metagenome
Description: bacterial LSU rRNA
Rfam family: Bacterial large subunit ribosomal RNA
Source: RNAcentral